Hyaena hyaena (striped hyena) is the source of this 514-nucleotide long non-coding RNA. RefSeq lists it as uncharacterized. Lineage: Eukaryota; Metazoa; Chordata; Mammalia; Carnivora; Hyaenidae. The transcript has 2 exons. The record is from RefSeq and is a predicted model, not a curated record.
CCCCGGUAUCAGAAGCCAGGCCUUGAUGCUUAGGAACGCACUAGAAACUGACUUCGGUGUAGAGAUGAAAAAGGGAACCUCUGUCCACGGAGGGUCAAAGGCUGGCAGGUGACUGAGCCCACAUUUGGACGCGAGUUUGACACCAACGCCUGUACUUUCAGUGUCUCUCUGCGUCCCGUGAGGAGGUCCGGGCACCUGGGGGGGCAGGGACUUGCGGGCAGUUUGGGAAGAGCAGGACUUAACGCUGUGACCUCUCAGAACCAUCUGGAAGCUUGGCACACGCUUGGCCCAAGACAUCUGAGCUCAGUGAGUCUGACAUUGGGACUGGUUACGUUGAGGGCUCUGAUGGCAGCUGUCUUCUCCAGGCCACCAGGCAAGGCUGUCUCCUCUAUGAGCUGUCAUCCCGCCCCAGUCCGGCGCCGGCCUCCCCACCACCGCCAAAGUCCCCGCUUGCUUCGGCUGCAGAAUCUGAAACUAGACCCAAUAUUUCAAUAAAAGCCUCAUUUAAGUUACA